RNAcentral lists this ribosomal RNA (279 nucleotides) under uncultured bacterium. Its description in RNAcentral is "partial 16S ribosomal RNA". It matches the Rfam family "Bacterial small subunit ribosomal RNA", at positions 506 to 784 of the family's 1533-position model. The record is from RNAcentral.
UGCCAGCAGCCGCGGUAAUACGGAGAGGGCUAGUGUUAUUCGGAAUAAUUGGGCGUAAAGGGCACGUAGGCGGUGAAUCAAGUUGAAAGUGAAAUCCCAAAGCUUAACUUUGGAACUGCUUUCAAAACUGAUUCACUAGAGUUUGAUAGGGGACAGUGGAAUUUCUAGUGUAGAGAUAGAAUUCAUAAAUAUUAGAAGGAACACCAGUGGCGAAGGCGACUGUCUGGAUCAAAACUGACGCUGAGGUGCGAAAGCAUGGGGAACAAACAGGAUUAGAUA